RNAcentral lists this ribosomal RNA (365 nucleotides) under uncultured eukaryote. RNAcentral's name for it is "partial 18S ribosomal RNA". It matches the Rfam family "Eukaryotic small subunit ribosomal RNA", at positions 592 to 975 of the family's 1831-position model. The record is from RNAcentral.
CAAUAGCGUAUAUUAAAGUUGUUGCAGUUAAAAAGCUCGUAGUUGAAUUUCUGGUGGGCGCGCCGGUCUUCCAAGAGUUGUACUGGGCGCAGUCCGCCAUCCUUGUGGAGAGGGCUCGCAUUGAGUUGCGUGUCGGAUCUGCAUCAUUUACUGUGAAAAAAUUAGAGUGUUUAAAGCAGGCUGUCGCUUGAAUACAUUAGCAUGGAAUAAUAAGAUAGGACUUCGGUCUAUUUUGUUGGUUGCGAACCGAGGUAAUGAUUAAUAGGGAUAGUUGGGGGUAUUCAUAUUUAAUUGUCAGAGGUGAAAUUCUUGGAUUUAUGAAAGAUGAACAACUGCGAAAGCAUUUACCAAGGAUGUUUUCAUUA